RNAcentral lists this ribosomal RNA (425 nucleotides) under uncultured bacterium. RNAcentral's name for it is "partial 16S ribosomal RNA". It matches the Rfam family "Bacterial small subunit ribosomal RNA", at positions 354 to 796 of the family's 1533-position model. The record is from RNAcentral.
GUGGGGAAUCUUGCGCAAUGGGCGAAAGCCUGACGCAGCCAUGCCGCGUGAAUGAUGAAGGUCUUAGGAUUGUAAAAUUCUUUCACCGGGGACGAUAAUGACGGUACCCGGAGAAGAAGCUCCGGCUAACUUCGUGCCAGCAGCCGCGGUAAUACGAAGGGGGCUAGCGUUGCUCGGAAUUACUGGGCGUAAAGGGCGCGUAGGCGGACAGCUUAGUCAGAGGUGAAAGCCCAGGGCUCAACCUUGGAAUUGCCUUUGAUACUGGCUGUCUUGAGUUUGGGAGAGGUGAGUGGAACUCCGAGUGUAGAGGUGAAAUUCGUAGAUAUUCGGAAGAACACCAGUGGCGGAGGCGACUCACUGGCCCAAUACUGACGCUGAGGCGCGAAAGCGUGGGGAGCAAACAGGAUUAGAAACCCCGGUAGUCC